CGUCGCCAGCGGGGCCCGCUCGGGCGUUCCGGGGAGCGAACCCCCGCCCGGGAAUGGGUAGAUUACCCUCAGUCCUUGUUCUAGUCCUCGAGUGGUGGGUGCGCAGCGAUGACUCCGCCUCCUGCUUCGGCAGUUGUGGGAUAGGGGGUGGUCCCAUUCCUGCCAGCUCAGGUGGGCUUAGCGGUACCUGCAUUUGCACGAUGGGUCCUAUACCAGCGGUAGGCCGGCUGUGUCUGGUGCUGUGUGACUGCUCACUUCGUGCAGGGUUGGCGUUUGCGUCCAGCGUUCGCCUUAGCUCGUCGAAACGUGUCAUCAGCGUGGCCACUUGGUUUUGGGCCUCCGCCUUCUCCUUGCGUUCCUGCUCGCGCUCUCUGUUUGCUUUGUGGAGGUCUGCCAGCGCCAGUUCAUACAAGGCGGCGAGGUCCUGACCUGGGGGACGGCUGCUGCUUGGAUUUGUUUCACCGCCUGGGUUGACCGGGGUGUUGAAUAGUGCGCGGUUGAUGCUUACCGCUGGGCGGACGGGUUGGGGAACGGCGGACUGGUCUGCCUGCUCCCCGAUAUUUCCCCCGCUACCGUUAGUCAUGGUAACUGUGAUGGGAUGACCUUCUGUUCAAGGAUUCCCACAGACGGCGCCAAUGUUAAUGUCUAAAAGUCUAGCGGUAGCUGGACCUUAGUUAACGCUGAUCCGGCAGGCGGAUCGAUACCUUUGUUGUGAGUGGUUCCCGUUACCUGUCAAAUAAAAUACAAUGGGCGUCAGAGGGAGACCGCGCCGGGCGGUCUUCAACUCUCCGAUGCCUAAGUUAGUCAAUGUAUUUAUGUUGACAAAGUAAUAGUAGGUAAGUAUUGAAUGCGUCAUUAAUGAGGAGAGAGGAGAGAACCUUUUAUAGGUGAGGAAGAGGAUGAUCUUCUCUUUGUUUUCGAUGUGGGACUGAUGGUGCUUCAGUUCCCAGUUUCAGUAGCUUCUGAUGCCAUCUUGACACGGCGCGUGGCGGCGCGUCGGCGGUGCUUUGGGGUUGAUCCGGGGCUCAGGCGGUAACCCGGCUAACUGUCUUUACGC
Molecule: long non-coding RNA, 1057 nt
Filed under: Rosa chinensis
Lineage: Eukaryota; Viridiplantae; Streptophyta; Magnoliopsida; Rosales; Rosaceae
Description: sRNA RchiOBHm_Chr1g0314391
Source: RNAcentral